AGCCUGGUGGAGUGGUCUGAGUGUUGGACUAUGACUCUGAAGUCCAUGGUUCGAAUCUCUGCUCGGCCA
Molecule: non-coding RNA, 69 nt
Organism: Phrynosoma platyrhinos (Desert horned lizard)
Lineage: Eukaryota; Metazoa; Chordata; Lepidosauria; Squamata; Phrynosomatidae
Source: the annotation of a GenBank genome assembly